CCUACGGGUGGCAGCAGUGGGGAAUAUUGCACAAUGGGGGAAACCCUGAUGCAGCGACGCCGCGUGAGUGAUGAAGUAUUUCGGUAUGUAAAGUCCUUUUGUCAGGGAAGAAAAUGACGGUAUCUGACGAAUAAGCACCGGCUAACUACGUGCCAGCAGCCGCGGUAAUACGGAGGGUGCAAGCGUUACUCGGAUUCACUGGGAGUAAAGGGCGCGUAGGCGGGAGAACAAGUCAGAAGUGAAAUCCCAGGGCUUAACCACAGAACUGCAUUUGAAACUGUUCGGCUAGAGUAUGGGAGAGGUAGGGGGAAUUCCUGGGGUAGGGGUAAAAUCCGUAGAGAUCAAGAGGAAUACUAAGUGCGAAGGCGACCUGCUAGAACAUAACUGACGUUGAUGCGCGAAAGCGUGGGGAGCAAACAGGAUUAGAUACCCUUGUAGUC
Molecule: ribosomal RNA, 440 nt
Filed under: uncultured bacterium
Lineage: Bacteria
Description: partial 16S ribosomal RNA
Rfam family: Bacterial small subunit ribosomal RNA
Source: RNAcentral